This 303-nucleotide ribosomal RNA is filed under the name uncultured Bacillota bacterium. RNAcentral's name for it is "bacterial SSU rRNA". It matches the Rfam family "Bacterial small subunit ribosomal RNA", at positions 28 to 351 of the family's 1533-position model. The record is from RNAcentral. Lineage: Bacteria; Bacillati; Bacillota.
GAUGAACGCUGGCGGCGUGCCUAAUACAUGCAAGUCGAGCGAACCACUUCGGUGGUGAGCGGCGAACGGGUGAGUAACACGUAGGUUAUCUACCCAUCAGACGGGGACAACGAUUGGAAACGAUCGCUAAUACCGGAUAGGACGAAAGUUUAAAGGUGCUUCGGCACCACUGAUGGAUGAGCCUGCGGCGCAUUAGCUAGUUGGUAGGGUAAGAGCCUACCAAGGCGACGAUGCGUAGCCGACCUGAGAGGGUGAACGGCCACACUGGGACUGAGACACGGCCCAGACUCCUACGGGUGGCAG